RNAcentral lists this transfer RNA (81 nucleotides) under Clostridiales bacterium. RNAcentral describes it as "tRNA-Tyr". It matches the Rfam family "tRNA". From Rfam's summary of the family: Transfer RNA (tRNA) molecules are approximately 80 nucleotides in length. Their secondary structure includes four short double-helical elements and three loops (D, anti-codon, and T loops). The record is from RNAcentral. Lineage: Bacteria; Bacillati; Bacillota; Clostridia; Eubacteriales.
UGGAGGAGUUCCCGAGUAGCCAAAGGGGGCAGACUGUAAAUCUGUUGUCAGUGGCUUCGGUUGUUUGAAUCCACCCUCCAA